This 664-nucleotide ribosomal RNA is filed under the name Articerodes thailandicus. RNAcentral's name for it is "partial 28S ribosomal RNA". Lineage: Eukaryota; Metazoa; Arthropoda; Insecta; Coleoptera; Staphylinidae. The record is from RNAcentral.
GCCGACUUCCAUGGCCACCGUCCUGCUGUCUUUAGUUACUAACGCCUUUUGUGGGGUCCGAUAUGCGUUGAUUUUGGCACUAUAACUUUACGACCGGUUCAUCCCGCAUCGCCAGUUCUGCUUACCAAAAAUGGCCCACUGAAGGCCUUUACUAUCUAUCCACUUGCUACGUAGCACGCUAGCUAAUGGAAAACACACACAUUAACAGUUUGAGAAUAGGUUGAGAACGUUUCGAACCCAACGACUCUAAUCAUUCGCUUUACCGCAUGUGACUAUCGUUACUAGACCUCAGCUAUCCUUAGGGAAACUUCGAAAGGAACCAGCUACUAGAUGGUUCGAUUGGUCUUUCGCCCCUAUACAUAGUUCUGAUGAUCGAUUUGCACGUCAGAACCAUUGCGGACCUCCACCAGAGUUUCCCCUGGCUUCAUCCUUUCCAUGCAUAGUUCACCAUCUUUCGGGUUCCAGAGCACGAGCUACGAGUACGGCAGCGCCAUUGCUGACGCGUAAUUGCCAUCUCCGAUUUGCCUAGACGCCGAUAUAUAAUCAAAACGUCUCAUCAUACAAACUUGAGCCGCCGAAGCGACCCUCAAUUGCUUUCGUUAAGUUUGACGGAUUCUAUAAAAUGAACCUUUGCGUCACGCUCGUUCGCUGGACUCCUUGGUCC